GCGGGUGUAGCUCAGUGGUAGAGCACUGGCUUCCCAAGCCAGCAGCGUGGGUUCGAUUCCCAUCACCCGCUCCA
This 74-nucleotide transfer RNA is filed under the name Bacillota bacterium. RNAcentral describes it as "Firmicutes bacterium (anaerobic digester metagenome) tRNA-Gly". It matches the Rfam family "tRNA". From Rfam's summary of the family: Transfer RNA (tRNA) molecules are approximately 80 nucleotides in length. Their secondary structure includes four short double-helical elements and three loops (D, anti-codon, and T loops). The record is from RNAcentral. Lineage: Bacteria; Bacillati; Bacillota.